Molecule: ribosomal RNA, 433 nt
Filed under: uncultured bacterium
Lineage: Bacteria
Description: partial 16S ribosomal RNA
Rfam family: Bacterial small subunit ribosomal RNA
Source: RNAcentral
AGCGAACGCUGGCGGCAGGCCUAACACAUGCAAGUCGAACGAACUCUUCGGAGUUAGUGGCGGAAGGGUGAGUAACACGUGGGAACGUGCCUUUUGGUUCGGAAUAACUCAGUGAAACUUGUGCUAAUACCGAAUGUGCCCUUCGGGGGAAAGAUUUAUCGCCAUUAGAGCGGCCCGCGUCUGAUUCGCUAGUUGGUGAGGUAACGGCUCACCAAGGCGACGAUCAGUAGCUGGUCUGAGAGGAUGACCAGCCACACUGGGACUGAGACACGGCCCAGACUCCUACGGGAGGCAGCAGUGGGGAAUCUUGCGCAAUGGGCGAAAGCCUGACGCAGCCAUGCCGCGUGAAUGAUGAAGGUCUUAGGAUUGUAAAAUUCUUUCACCGGGGACGAUAAUGACGGUACCCGGAGAAGAAGCCCCGGCUAACUUCGUG